UGCCAGCCGCCGCGGUAAUACGAAGGGGGCGAGCGUUAUUCGGAAUCACUGGGCUUAAAGGGUGCGUAGGCGGUUUUCCAAGUCAGAUGUGAAAUCUCCCGGCUCAACCGGGAAACUGCAUUCGAUACUGGCAGACUAGAGUGCGAGAGAGGGAGGUAGAAUUCCAUGUGUAGCGGUGAAAUGCGUAGAUAUGUGGAGGAAUACCAGUGGCGAAGGCGGCCUCCUGGCUCGACACUGACACUGAGGUGCGAAAGCGUGGGGAGCAAACAGGAUUAGAUA
This 279-nucleotide ribosomal RNA is filed under the name uncultured bacterium. RNAcentral's name for it is "partial 16S ribosomal RNA". It matches the Rfam family "Bacterial small subunit ribosomal RNA", at positions 506 to 784 of the family's 1533-position model. The record is from RNAcentral.